Molecule: ribosomal RNA, 253 nt
Filed under: uncultured bacterium
Lineage: Bacteria
Description: partial 16S ribosomal RNA
Rfam family: Bacterial small subunit ribosomal RNA
Source: RNAcentral
UACGUAGGGUGCGAGCGUUAAUCGGAAUUACUGGGCGUAAAGCGUGCGCAGGCGGUGAUGUAAGACAGAUGUGAAAUCCCCGGGCUCAACCUGGGAACUGCAUUUGUGACUGCAUCGCUGGAGUGCGGCAGAGGGGGUUGGAAUUCCGCGUGUAGCAGUGAAAUGCGUAGAUAUGCGGAGGAACACCGAUGGCGAAGGCAAUCCCCUGGGCCUGCACUGACGCUCAUGCACGAAAGCGUGGGGAGCAAACAGG